Molecule: long non-coding RNA, 989 nt
Filed under: Rattus norvegicus (Norway rat)
Lineage: Eukaryota; Metazoa; Chordata; Mammalia; Rodentia; Muridae
Description: long non-coding RNA NONRATT019528
Source: RNAcentral
CAAUGUUCUUUUUUUUUUUUGGUUCUUUUUUUCGGAGCUGGGGACCGAACCCAGGGCCUUGCGCUUCCUAGGUAAGCGCUCUACCACUGAGCUAAAUCCCCAGCCCCCAAACAAUGUUCUUAACUACUGGGUCACUUCUCCAGGUCUCCCAGUUGCCCCCCCCCCAUUUAUAUAUCCUGAACUAUCAAUACUAAUAAUAAUCUUAUGGAGACACACAUGAAUGGGUACUUACCUAGCAUGAAAAUGGUUAUAUUACUAUUACUCCAGCAGAGUGGGAAAAUAAAGGUGUCAGUGAACACGCUUCUUUUAAAACUUCGCCCCAUAACCUCACAAGUAGUUUUGGGUUUGGGGGUUACAGACUUCUAACCCAUCUACUGUUACAUUACUAGCUGGAGAGGUUUUAAAUAUCUAUUUACCCCUAGGAGACAAGAGAUGAGUUGCACAGAGUGGCCAGAGAACAACACAGACAGCUCUGUCUCCUGACGGACACUGCAGCUUCACCAGUUGUGGUAGCUCUUUCCUGAUUCAAACCACUCUGGAUAGUCAAACAAUCUACCAUCAUUCAGGAAGCAUGAAUACAUGGUCGGUAGGACUGGUGACAGCUUGGUUGGUAGAAUGCUUGCUGUGAUGGCUUCUGUGGGUUGGUACCUUGACUACAUCUGGAAUUAACUAAAAGCCAAGUGGCUGGGUAUACCUGUGAGAAAUUUUUUUCUUUUAACCCAGAGCUAUGAGGUAGGGCUGUCCAUCUUUAAUUUGGACCACACCUUAUGGCGGCAGCCUAUAUAACGACAUGGAAGAGGCCAUCACUCUUUGCCAGCCUGGUCUCGGUUUUACUGGAUAGUCCUUUCCUUUACUGGCAUUAGAGCCUAUUUCUUCAGGCUUCUGGCACAUACUGAGGAGCAGCUGAGACAUCCAGCCUCAUGAACUUAAGAACUAUUGGAUUCUUGGACUUCCCUUGGUAGACAGCCAUUGUUGGAGAAGGGGACCAU